This 446-nucleotide ribosomal RNA is filed under the name uncultured bacterium. RNAcentral's name for it is "bacterial SSU rRNA". It matches the Rfam family "Bacterial small subunit ribosomal RNA", at positions 330 to 792 of the family's 1533-position model. The record is from RNAcentral.
ACCAGACUCCUACGGGAGGCAGCAGUGGGGGAUAUUGCACAAUGGGGGAAACCCUGAUGCAGCGACGCCGCGUGAGUGAAGAAGUAUUUCGGUAUGUAAAGCUCUAUCAGCAGGGAAGAAAAAAGACGGUACCUGACUAAGAAGCCCCGGCUAACUACGUGCCAGCAGCCGCGGUAAUACGUAGGGGGCAAGCGUUAUCCGGAUUUACUGGGUGUAAAGGGAGCGUAGACGGCAAUACAAGUCGGAAGUGAAAUACCCGGGCUCAGCCUGGGAACUGCUUUGGAAACUGUAUGGCUGGAGUGCUGGAGAGGUAAGCGGAAUUCCUAGUGUAGCGGUGAAAUGCGUAGAUAUUAGGAGGAACACCAGUGGCGAAGGCGGCUUACUGGACAGUAACUGACGUUGAGGCUCGAAAGCGUGGGGAGCAGACAGGAUUAGAUACCCCCGUA